GCGAAUGUGGCGGAAUUGGUAGACGCGCUGGAUUCAGGUUCCAGUGGGUAACACCGUGGGGGUUCGAGUCCCCCCAUUCGCA
Molecule: transfer RNA, 82 nt
Filed under: Deltaproteobacteria bacterium
Lineage: Bacteria; Pseudomonadati; Myxococcota; Myxococcia
Also listed under: 1 other name
Description: tRNA-Leu
Rfam family: tRNA
About the family: Transfer RNA (tRNA) molecules are approximately 80 nucleotides in length. Their secondary structure includes four short double-helical elements and three loops (D, anti-codon, and T loops). Further hydrogen bonds mediate the characteristic L-shaped molecular structure. tRNAs have two regions of fundamental functional importance: the anti-codon, which is responsible for specific mRNA codon recognition, and the 3' end, to which the tRNAs corresponding amino acid is attached (by aminoacyl-tRNA synthetases). tRNAs cope with the degeneracy of the genetic code in two manners: having more than one tRNA (with a specific anti-codon) for a particular amino acid; and 'wobble' base-pairing, i.e. permitting non-standard base-pairing at the 3rd anti-codon position.
Source: RNAcentral